RNAcentral lists this ribosomal RNA (506 nucleotides) under uncultured bacterium. RNAcentral's name for it is "partial 16S ribosomal RNA". It matches the Rfam family "Bacterial small subunit ribosomal RNA", at positions 29 to 523 of the family's 1533-position model. The record is from RNAcentral.
AGUGAACGCUGGCGGUAGGCCUAACACAUGCAAGUCGAGCGGCAGCACAGAGGAGCUUGCUCCUUGGGUGGCGAGUGGCGGACGGGUGAGGAAUACAUCGGAAUCUACUCUGUCGUGGGGGAUAACGUAGGGAAACUUACGCUAAUACCGCAUACGACCUACGGGUGAAAGCAGGGGAUCUUCGGACCUUGCGCGAUUGAAUGAGCCGAUGUCGGAUUAGCUAGUUGGCGGGGUAAAGGCCCACCAAGGCGACGAUCCGUAGCUGGUCUGAGAGGAUGAUCAGCCACACUGGAACUGAGACACGGUCCAGACUCCUACGGGAGGAAGCAGUGGGGAAUAUUGGACAAUGGGCGCAAGCCUGAUCCAGCCAUACCGCGUGGGUGAAGAAGGCCUUCGGGUUGUAAAGCCCUUUUGUUGGGAAAGAAAUCCAGCUGGCUAAUACCCGGUUGGGAUGACGGUACCCAAAGAAUAAGCACCGGCUAACUUCGUGCCAGCAGCCGCGGUAA